CACCCGGUCGCACAUGGUGUGCAUCUGCUUUACCUAAGGAGCUCACCGAGAACUUAUAGGCAGAUGGCCCCCGUUCGAUCCGGGGCCGGGUGA
Non-coding RNA from Mycena rosella, 93 nucleotides. Lineage: Eukaryota; Fungi; Basidiomycota; Agaricomycetes; Agaricales; Mycenaceae. The record is from the annotation of a GenBank genome assembly.